UGGAAGGCAUGGGCUAUAGCACACAAAAAUUUGGGACACGCGCGAAUUUCUAGUUUUAUGGCUGUAUAAUGCCAAAAGAUAUAAUUUGGUCAUGGCGGGGCGGUGAAAAUGAUUUUAUUAUGCCGUAUUUGAUGUCCAAAACAAAUAUUAGGCGAUUCUAGGACGGAUCUAUCCGGGCCCAAAUCAGAAGGCAUGGGGGUAUAGCACACAAAAAUUUGGGACUCAUGCGAAUUUCUAGUUUUAUGGCUGUAUAAUGUCAAAAAAUUUAAUUUGGUCAUGGCGGGGCGGUGACAAUGGUUUCUUAGGCCGUAUUUGAUUUCCAAGACAAAUAUUAGGCGAUUCUAGGACGGAUCUAUCCGGGCCCAAAUCAGAAGGCAUGGGGUAUAGCACACAAAAAUUUGGGACUCGCGCGAAUUUCUAGUUUUAUGGUUGUAAAAUGCCAAAAAUGUAAUUUGGUCAUGGUGGGCGGUGAAAAUGGUUUUAUUAUGCCGUAUUUGAUGUCCAAGACAAAUAAUAGAUGAUUCCAGGACGGAACCAUCCGGGCCCUAGCACAUAAAAAUUU
Molecule: long non-coding RNA, 562 nt
Filed under: Nicotiana tabacum (common tobacco)
Lineage: Eukaryota; Viridiplantae; Streptophyta; Magnoliopsida; Solanales; Solanaceae
Description: long non-coding RNA (NTAB_LNC000133)
Source: RNAcentral